RNAcentral lists this ribosomal RNA (253 nucleotides) under uncultured bacterium. Its description in RNAcentral is "partial 16S ribosomal RNA". It matches the Rfam family "Bacterial small subunit ribosomal RNA", at positions 524 to 776 of the family's 1533-position model. The record is from RNAcentral.
UACGGAGGGUGCAAGCGUUGUCCGGAUUUAUUGGGUUUAAAGGGUGCGUAGGCGGCCCGUUAAGUCAGUGGUGAAAGCCUCCAGCUCAACUGGAGAACUGCCAUUGAUACUGACGGGCUUGAGUACAGACGAGGUUGGCGGAAUUGAUUGUGUAGCGGUGAAAUGCAUAGAGAUGUGGAGGAACACCGAUGGCGAAGGCAGCCCCCUGGGCUAACACUGACGCUCAGGCACGAAAGCGUGGGGAGCAAACAGG